RNAcentral lists this long non-coding RNA (1174 nucleotides) under Hordeum vulgare. RNAcentral's name for it is "long non-coding RNA (HVUL_LNC018869)". The record is from RNAcentral. Lineage: Eukaryota; Viridiplantae; Streptophyta; Magnoliopsida; Poales; Poaceae.
UUAUCAAAUAUAUCUUGGAAUUCACUGAAGAUGAAGCAAUAAAAAAGGAUAAAACAAAGUCAGACCUUCAUUGAAUUGUUAGAAAUUGUGGUGCAGAAUCAAAGUGAAGUUUUCUAACUGAACUAAAAACUCUCAACAAAUGGCAAGCUGCGAUGAACCAAUGAAACAAGUGUUUCCUUAAGUAUGAAUGCCGAAGAAAUAAUACAUGUAUAUGACACACACAGGAAAGAAACACUUUCCAUAUUGAAUCAGGAUCAAUCCUUGUUGACCAUGAGGAUAUCUCUCAAGUCUGAGCUAUGUCGGAUCCUCCUUGAGUGACAGUUCCAUAGAAACUCCCGUGCACCUUUGGCCAUAUAAAUGAGAUAGAUUAAUAACACAAACCUGAAAAAAACAAUGAAUCUCCCUUGAGAGCAGAGAAACAGGAAGCACGAGAGGCAAAAUGAGAGGGAGAGGGCUCACCGAGAGGAUUUUCUUAUCGUCACAUCAGCGACAUCCGCUCGAGCCACAUGUCACAAGAAUCGCCCCAACCAUAGACAAAUAAAGCCGAGUCUCCAUGUAGAGAAACAACUAAUGUGAACGUGAGACUGUAAAACAAUUAGGAUGAGUAGCGUGCUAAUUGAUUGUCAACAUAAAUAAUACUUGUAACCAGUGGCAAAUGGCAGUAUACUAUCAGGAAGUGAAGUACAUUGACAUUUUGUAAGCUAUACUAAGGUUAUAGGAUAAGCACACAUUAAAAAAGUAGCAAGAUUAUGGAUUUCUUGAAUAUCAACAAAGUAAUUGGAAUUCCAAAUAUAUGAAGUAUUAGUUAUUACAUAGAUUAGAAAUAGACACGACAACCAUGUAAAAUUUGCCGAUUAAUUAAAGAGAUUCAAGAUGAUUUGGUGCCUUGAAAGAAACCUACACAUCUUAAUUAGCAAACCAGUGACAAUAUUGAAUCGAUGCUGAAGUGUACUCUUCUUUGCUAAGUAUGGAAUUAAUCAAAUAUGGCAGGGAAACAAUCAGAACAGCAAUGGGCGACUCUCGUCGACCAACAUAGGCAACAACUAAGCAAAAAUUGUACUGCAUAAUUGUUGAUAAAGGGCCUGCCGGUAGAGUGUCAGGAGAUGCUGCUCCAAGCAUAUGAUUUCUAGCUCUAGUACUGUAAUCUCCUUUAUGAGCUUCUCAGUAAGCUGAC